CAUUGCUGCCCUAAGCGAUGAACAGGGCAGGGCGUGUGGUAUUGCAGUUAACUAUGUGUCAUCUGGUCAUCAUAGUGAUUGGUAGAUUAAAACCGUUAGCCACCUCUGAAUUCAUAUCGAAGUCAUGCGAGCUGGUCUUUUUCUGCUUGGAUCUCCAGGUUGUGGGAAAACACUAAUGACAAUUUAUUUUGAGAUUGCCAUAUUCUUUCUACCUAAUUUGUGUUCUGUAUAAACUGUACAAUGUUUCCUUUUCUGGAACUUUAGGGGCCUGAUCAAUUGAACAAGUAUAUUGGGGAGAGCGAAUCAGAAGUAAGGAAAAUAUGAACCCGUGCAAGCACUAACUCACCAUACAUCCUAUUUUUUUGAGGUAAAACUAAGUAGUUGUGGCCGCUUUGGAUGAGAGAACCCAAUUCCUGGUACAGUAAAAUGCCAACACAUAUAUGAUUGAUGUUAUGGCACUAUACUUGA
Triticum aestivum (bread wheat) is the source of this 468-nucleotide long non-coding RNA. RefSeq lists it as uncharacterized. Lineage: Eukaryota; Viridiplantae; Streptophyta; Magnoliopsida; Poales; Poaceae. The transcript has 4 exons. The record is from RefSeq and is a predicted model, not a curated record.